UACGUAGGGUGCGAGCGUUAAUCGGAAUUACUGGGCGUAAAGCGUGCGCAGGCGGUUUUGUAAGUCCGAUGUGAAAUCCCCGGGCUUAACCUGGGAACUGCAUUGGUGACUGCAGGGCUAGAGUGUGUCAGAGGGAGGUGGAAUUCCGCGUGUAGCAGUGAAAUGCGUAGAGAUGCGGAGGAACACCGAUGGCGAAGGCAGCCUCCUGGGAUAACACUGACGCUCAGGCACGAAAGCGUGGGGAGCAAACAGG
This 253-nucleotide ribosomal RNA is filed under the name uncultured bacterium. RNAcentral describes it as "partial 16S ribosomal RNA". It matches the Rfam family "Bacterial small subunit ribosomal RNA", at positions 524 to 776 of the family's 1533-position model. The record is from RNAcentral.